RNAcentral lists this transfer RNA (66 nucleotides) under Rhinebothrium sp. 1. RNAcentral describes it as "tRNA-Trp". Lineage: Eukaryota; Metazoa; Platyhelminthes; Cestoda; Rhinebothriidea; Rhinebothriidae. The record is from RNAcentral.
GUGAGAUUAAGUUAAUUAGACUGUUUGUUUUCAAAACAUGAAGUAGCUCUUGUGGGCUAUCUUACG